Molecule: ribosomal RNA, 501 nt
Filed under: uncultured bacterium
Lineage: Bacteria
Description: bacterial SSU rRNA
Rfam family: Bacterial small subunit ribosomal RNA
Source: RNAcentral
GAGUUUGAUCAUGGCUCAGGACGAACGCUGGCGGCGUGCCUAAUACAUGCAAGUCGAACGCUUUUUUCAAUCAUCGUAGCUUGCUACACCGAUUGAAAAUUGAGUGGCGAACGGGUGAGUAACACGUGGGUAACCUGCCCAAAAGAGGGGGAUAACACUUGGAAACAGGUGCUAAUACCGCAUAACCAUGAUGACCGCAUGGUCAUUAUGUAAAAGAUGGUUUCGGCUAUCACUUUUGGAUGGACCCCGCGGCGUAUUAACUUGUUGGUGGGGUAACGGCCUACCAAGGUAAUGAUACGUAGCCGAACUGAGAGGUUGAUCGGCCACAUUGGGACUGAGACACGGCCCAAACUCCUACGGGAGGCAGCAGUAGGGAAUCUUCCACAAUGGACGCAAGUCUGAUGGAGCAACGCCGCGUGAGUGAAGAAGGUUUUCGGAUCGUAAAGCUCUGUUGUGGUGAAGAGGAUAGAGGUAGUAACUGGCCUUUAUUUGACGGUAAUC